Molecule: ribosomal RNA, 254 nt
Filed under: uncultured bacterium
Lineage: Bacteria
Description: partial 16S ribosomal RNA
Rfam family: Bacterial small subunit ribosomal RNA
Source: RNAcentral
UACGAAGGGGGCUAGCGUUGUUCGGAAUUACUGGGCGUAAAGGGCGCGUAGGCGGUCUUCUAAGUCUUGUGUGAAAUCCCUCGGCUCAACUGAGGAACUGCACGGGAUACUGGAAGACUUGAGUUCGGGAGAGGGAAGCGGAAUUCCGGGUGUAGCGGUGAAAUGCGUAGAUAUCCGGAGGAACACCGGUGGCGAAGGCGGCUUCCUGGACCGAUCACUGACGCUGAGGCGCGAAAGCUAGGGGAGCAAACGGG